AUUUAUAUAGUUUAAGAAAAACAUUACAUUUUCAUUGUAAAAUUAAAAUAUAAUUUUUUAUAAAUA
RNAcentral lists this transfer RNA (66 nucleotides) under Ochthebius magnannulatus. Its description in RNAcentral is "tRNA-Glu". RNAcentral also lists the same sequence under 1 other name. Lineage: Eukaryota; Metazoa; Arthropoda; Insecta; Coleoptera; Hydraenidae. The record is from RNAcentral.